GCUCCAAUAGCGUAUAUUAAAGUUGUUGCAGUUAAAAAGCUCGUAGUUGGAUUUGUGGGUGGAGCGAGCGUCCGACGCUUAGCGUGGGUGAUGGUCGUCUCCGUCCAUCUUUGGGUGGAAUCCGUGUGGCAUUAAGUUGUCGUGCGGGGGAUGCCAUCUUUUACUGUGAAAAAAUUAGAGUGUUCAAAGCAGCUUACGCC
RNAcentral lists this ribosomal RNA (200 nucleotides) under uncultured eukaryote. RNAcentral describes it as "partial 18S ribosomal RNA". It matches the Rfam family "Eukaryotic small subunit ribosomal RNA", at positions 588 to 791 of the family's 1831-position model. The record is from RNAcentral.